Non-coding RNA from Oryza glumipatula, 191 nucleotides. The record is from Rfam. NCBI's taxonomy places the organism in Eukaryota, Viridiplantae, Streptophyta, Magnoliopsida, Poales, Poaceae.
UUUUAGGUUUCCGUGUCUGAUAUUUGACCGUCCGUCUUAUAUAAAAUUUUUUAUAUGAUUAGUAUUUUCAUUAUUGUUAAAUGAUAAAACAUAAAUAAUACUUUAUGUAUGGCUUAUUUUUUAAAUUUUUUUAUAAUUUUUUAAAAUAAGACGAACGAUCAAACGUUAGAUACGGAAACCCAGGAAUUAAG